This 302-nucleotide unclassified non-coding RNA is filed under the name rhizosphere metagenome. RNAcentral describes it as "partial ribosomal RNA internal transcribed spacer region". The record is from RNAcentral.
GUAGGUGAACCUGCGGAAGGAUCAUUGUCGAAACCUGCCCAGCAGAGCGACCCGUGAACAUGUUCAACCUCAUGGGUGCUGGGGCCUGGCUCGGUGCCUUGUGUGCUGGCUCGCCCCUCUCCCAGGCAGGGGAGCGCCCACUUGUGGGCUGUUCCCCGGCUAACCAACGAACCCCGGCGCGUAAAUGAGUCAAGGAAUACAAACUUUAUGUGUGUGCUCUCCUAUCGCCCUGUUAGCCGGGCGUUGGAGUGCUGCCAUGUCUUAACAAUAAAUGACUCUCGGCAACGGAUAUAUCGGCUCUC